UCGGAACGUAUCCUAGAGUGGGGGAUAGCCCGGCGAAAGCCGGAUUAAUACCGCAUACGCUCGAAAGAGGAAAGUGGGGGAUCGUAAGACCUCACGCCCAAGGAGCGGCCGAUGCCGGAUUAGCUAGUUGGUGAGGUAAAAGCUCACCAAGGCGACGAUCCGUAGCUGGUCUGAGAGGACGACCAGCCACACUGGAACUGAGACACGGUCCAGACUCCUACGGGAGGCAGCAGUGGGGAAUUUUGGACAAUGGGGGAAACCCUGAUCCAGCCAUUCCGCGUGAGUGAAGAAGGCCUUCGGGUUGUAAAGCUCUUUCGGCAGGAACGAAACGGUUACGGUCAAUACCCGUGACUACUGACGGUACCUGAAGAAGAAGCACCGGCUAACUACGUGCCAGCAGCCGCGGUAAUACGUAGGGUGCGAGCGUUAAUCGGAUUUACUGGGCGUAAAGCGUGCGCAGGCGGUUUCGCAAGUCAGAUGUGAAAGCCCCGGGCUUAACCUGGGAAUUGCGUUUGAAACUAUGGAACUUGAGUACGGCAGAGGGGGGUAGAAUUCCACGUGUAGCAGUGAAAUGCGUAGAUAUGUGGAGGAACACCGAUGGCGAAGGCAGCCCCCUGGGCCUGUACUGACGCUCAUGCACGAAAGCGUGGGGAGCAAACAGGAUUAGAUACCCUGGUAGUCCACGCCCUAAACUAUGUCAACUAGUUGUUGGAAGAGUCAAAUCUUUCAGUAACGUAGCUAACGCGCGAAGUUGACCGCCUGGGGAGUACGGUCGCAAGAUUAAAACUCAAAGGAAUUGACGGAAUCGAAUU
Molecule: ribosomal RNA, 812 nt
Filed under: uncultured bacterium
Lineage: Bacteria
Description: bacterial SSU rRNA
Rfam family: Bacterial small subunit ribosomal RNA
Source: RNAcentral